CCUACGGGUGGCAGCAGUGAGGAAUAUUGGUCAAUGGGCGAGAGCCUGAACCAGCCAAGUCGCGUGAGGGAGUACUGCCCUAUGGGUUGUAAACCUCUUUUGUCGGGGAGCAAAAGCCGGACGUGUCCGGCUGUGAGAGUACCCGAAGAAAAAGCAUCGGCUAACUCCGUGCCAGCAGCCGCGGUAAUACGGAGGAUGCGAGCGUUAUCCGGAUUUAUUGGGUUUAAAGGGUGCGCAGGCGGAUUUUUAAGUCAGCGGUAAAAUCGUGGGGCUCAACCCCAUCCAGCCGUUGAAACUGGGGAUCUAGAGUGUGCGAGAGGUAUGCGGAAUGCGUGGUGUAGCGGUGAAAUGCAUAGAUAUAACGCAGAACCCCGAUUGCGAAGGCAGCAUACCGGUGCACAACUGACGCUCAGGCACGAAAGCGUGGGUAUCGAACAGGAUUAGAUACCCGGGUAGUC
This 458-nucleotide ribosomal RNA is filed under the name uncultured bacterium. Its description in RNAcentral is "partial 16S ribosomal RNA". It matches the Rfam family "Bacterial small subunit ribosomal RNA", at positions 338 to 795 of the family's 1533-position model. The record is from RNAcentral.